CCCUGGGUAGCUCAGUUGGUAGAGCAUGACGCUCAUAAUCUCAGGGAAGUGGGUUUGUGUCCCACGUCAGGUG
RNAcentral lists this transfer RNA (73 nucleotides) under Lepisosteus oculatus (spotted gar). It matches the Rfam family "tRNA". Rfam says of the family: Transfer RNA (tRNA) molecules are approximately 80 nucleotides in length. Their secondary structure includes four short double-helical elements and three loops (D, anti-codon, and T loops). The record is from Rfam by way of RNAcentral. Lineage: Eukaryota; Metazoa; Chordata; Actinopteri; Semionotiformes; Lepisosteidae.